CAUCCAGAGAACUUAGCAGAGAUGCUUUGGUGCCUUCGGGAACUCUGAGACAGGUGCUGCAUGGCUGUCGUCAGCUCGUGUUGUGAAAUGUUCGGGUUAAGUCCCGCAACGAGCGCAACCCUUAUCCUUUGUUGCCAGCGGUUCGGCCGGGAAACUCAAAGGAGACUGCCGGUGAUAAACCGGAGGAAGGUGGGGAUGACGUCAAGUCAUCAUGGCCCUUACGGCCAGGGCUACACACGUGCUACAAUGGCGCAUACAAAGAGAAGCGACCUCGCGAGAGCAAGCGGACCUCAUAAAGUGCGUCGUAGUCCGGAUUGGAGUCUGCAACUCGACUCCAUGAAGUCGGAAUCGCUAGUAAUCGUAGAUCAGAAUGCUACGGUGAAUACGUUCCCGGGCCUUGUACACACCGCCCGUCACACCAUGGGAGUGGGUUGCAAAAGAAGUAGGUAGCUUAACCUUCGGGAGGGCGCUUACCACUUUGUGAUUCAUGACUGGGGUGAAGUCGUAACAAGGUAGGCGUAGCGAG
Molecule: ribosomal RNA, 526 nt
Filed under: uncultured bacterium
Lineage: Bacteria
Description: bacterial SSU rRNA
Rfam family: Bacterial small subunit ribosomal RNA
Source: RNAcentral